This 476-nucleotide ribosomal RNA is filed under the name uncultured organism. RNAcentral describes it as "partial 16S ribosomal RNA". It matches the Rfam family "Bacterial small subunit ribosomal RNA", at positions 331 to 799 of the family's 1533-position model. The record is from RNAcentral.
GUACACUCCUGCGGGAGGCAGCAGUAGGGAAUCUUCCACAAUGGGUGCAAACCUGAUGGAGCAAUGCCGCGUGAGUGAAGAAGGUCUUCGGAUCGUAAAGCUCUGUUGUUAGAGAAGAACACGUGCUAGGUAACUACUAGCGCCUUGACGGUAUCUAACCAGAAAGUCACGGCUAACUACGUGCCAGCAGCCGCGGUAAUACGUAGGUGACAAGCGUUGUCCGGAUUUAUUGGGCGUAAAGGGAGCGCAGGCGGUCUGUUUAGUCUAAUGUGAAAGCCCACGGCUUAACCGUGGAACGGCAUUGGAAACUGACAGACUUGAAUGUAGAAGAGGAAAAUGGAAUUCCAAGUGUAGCGGUGGAAUGCGUAGAUAUUUGGAGGAACACCAGUGGCGAAGGCGAUUUUCUGGUCUAACAUUGACGCUGAGGCUCGAAAGCGUGGGGAGCGAACAGGAUUAGAAACCCUGGUAGUCCCAUG